RNAcentral lists this unclassified non-coding RNA (243 nucleotides) under plant metagenome. Its description in RNAcentral is "partial contains small subunit ribosomal RNA, internal transcribed spacer 1, and 5.8S ribosomal RNA". The stretch from base 195 to 243 matches the Rfam family "5.8S ribosomal RNA", at positions 1 to 49 of the family's 154-position model. The record is from RNAcentral.
UUUCCGUAGGUGAACCUGCGGAAGGAUCAUUAAAGAGAAUAUGCCCUUCGGGGUAGAUCUCCCACCCUUUGUUUAUAUUACCUUUGUUGCUUUGGCAGGCCCGUCUUCGGACCACCGGCUUCGGCUGGUCAGUGCUUGCCAGAGGACCCAAAACUCUUAUUAUUAAUGUCGUCUGAGUACUAUAUAAUAGUUAAAACUUUCAACAACGGAUCUCUUGGUUCUGGCAUCGGUGAAGAACGCAGC